GAUUACAAAAUCCUUGAGUUAAGAGAGUUAUCCAAUCAUUCACAUUCAAGCACAAACUCUCUCUUUCACCAAUCUCACUCAUUCCCAACAUUUUCCCUUUUUCUUUUUCAUUGAGUUUUUCUUUUCAUGCUUAUCUUUUCUUUUCUAUCUUUGUCAUGUUUUUUCAUUCAACACAUUAACUCAAUGCUUUUCUUUGCCUUUCAAUUCUCCCAACAACCCCAAACUUGAACCUUUAUCAAUACCAUGCAAUUAUUCUCAUCUCAACUCAAGGUAAAAUUUUUUCAAAAGGUUUCCCCAUAAAGUGUUUAAAGCUUAGGCUCAAAAAGGGUAGACACAUGAUUCUCUUUACUUUGGGACGAAAAUUUGGCUAAGUACGGGCUUCCAAAAAUGGCCUUGAUCAUAUGACACAAACAUGUAAUUCAAUUAAUCAUAAAGAUUUAGGCAAAAUCAUUCAUGCUUUCAAGUAGAUAGCAAACAUAUCAACAAAAAACUCUGGAGCUCAAAUCCUCACAAAUAGGCUUUACUCAAUAUUCCAAAUAACAUAAUCAUACACCCUGCUUAGCAUCAUAAUCACAAUCAUAAUAUCACACGCAUCUGUCCACACAGCUUGUGAACACUUCAACUAUAUAUAAGCUUGUAAAACAAUCUUGCUCAUCAUCCAAAUCAAGCAUCACCAAGAACACUCAUCAUGUAAUCAACAAGUCAAACCAUCAUCAGAUAAGAUGUUCAAGCAAGUACACUAAACAACUAUACUACUCAACAGAAGCAAACCUAUACUAAGAAUUCAAAUUACAAAAUAAAAACAAAACAUAAAAUCCUGGGUUGCCUCCUAGUAAGCGCUUGUUUAACGUCACGAGCCUGACCCAAACCUUACGGAUCCAUCAACUUCAUCACAGUGGAAAGGCAUUCAACUUCUCCUCCCAGAUAAUGCUCGAGUCUCUGUUCAUUCACCACCCAACUUUUAUUUGGAUCACUAUCAUUCGGAUUCAGCAAUUCAACCGCUCCAUGAGGAUGCACAUUUUUAUUAUGAAAGGCCCCGACCAUUUUGACUUCAGUUUCCCAGGAAAUAGCUUCAACCUUGAAUGAAAUAGUAACACUUGUUGCCCUGGGUUGAACACCCUUUUUAUCAAUUUCCUGUCAUGAUAGAAUUUUACCUUUUCUUUAU
This 1165-nucleotide long non-coding RNA is filed under the name Vigna radiata. RNAcentral's name for it is "long non-coding RNA (VRAD_LNC018139)". Lineage: Eukaryota; Viridiplantae; Streptophyta; Magnoliopsida; Fabales; Fabaceae. The record is from RNAcentral.